This 3341-nucleotide unclassified non-coding RNA is filed under the name Octopus sinensis (East Asian common octopus). Its description in RNAcentral is "dnaJ homolog subfamily A member 2, transcript variant X1". Lineage: Eukaryota; Metazoa; Mollusca; Cephalopoda; Octopoda; Octopodidae. The record is from RNAcentral.
GCGAGUAGUGACGUCAGUUACCUUUGAGCAAGACGGAAGUGUGUCUGUUCUGUCCGUGACUGAAGUGACUUUUAAGCACAGCACCGAGAGAAGACUAGCAAAUUAGGACUCUGCUGCGAGAAAUGGAAGAUUUAAACUUGUAUAACGUUUUGGGAGUAACAAAAAAUGCUUCCGGUAGUGAAAUCAAAAAGGCUUUUAACAAGUUAGCAAAGGAAUAUCACCCUGAUAAAAAUCCAAAUGCUGGAGACAAGUUCAAAGAAAUCAAUUAUGCUCAUGAAGUUCUUUCCAACCCAGAAAAAAGAAGAAUUUAUGAUCAUUAUGGUAUCCAAGGCUUACAAGAAGGCGUUGGUUCAGGAUCAUUUCCAUUUAGGGAUAUGUUUGGGGGUAUUUUUGACAUGGGUUUUAUGGGUAGUCAUCAUCGACAUAGUCGUCAUCGAGGAGAAGAUGCUUUUCACAAAUUAAGAGUAAACUUAGAAGAUUUUUACAAUGGCAAAACUUCUAAACUGCAAUUAUCUAGAACUGUCGUUUGUAAAAAAUGUCAAGGAAUUGGAGGUAAACCUGGUUCAGUAAUGACUUGUCGUGGUUGCCAUGGCAGGCGAAUUAAGAAAAGUAUGCGUCAGCUAGGACCUGGUAUGGUACAAGAAAUACAGAGUACUUGUUCAGAAUGUAAUGGUGAAGGAAAUUACAUUAAUGAGAAAGAUAGGUGUAAAGAAUGCUCAGGACGCAAAGUGGUCAGUGAAGACAAGAUUUUAGAAGUGCAUAUAGACAAAGGCAUGAAAGACGGCCAGAAAGUCUGGUUUAGGGGAGAAGGAGACCAAUUACCCAACAUUGAACCAGGAGAUGUCAUAAUUAUUUUGACUCAAGGUGAACAUAAACAGUUUUCUAGAGAUGGAGAAAACCUUUUGUACAAACAUACUUUGGGUCUAACUGAGGCCCUUUGUGGUUUUGAAUUUGUAUUGACUCAUCUUGACAAACGGGAAUUAAUUAUUAAGAAUGCUCCAGGAGAUGUUAUUCAACCAGGAACUACCAAGGUUUUGAAAGGAGAAGGAAUGCCAAUUUAUAGAAAUCCUUUUGAAAAAGGAGAUUUGUUCAUUACAUUCGAUGUAGAAUUUCCGUCAAAUAAUUUUCUGGAUCCUACAAGAAUGAUUGAAUUAGAGAAUUUGUUACCCGCCUAUUCUAAAGUAGAUAUUCCUAUGGAAAGUGAUAAUGUGGAAGAAGUUACAUUGGUUGAGUAUGAUGCUUCCAUGAGAAAUGCUUCUCGCAGAAAUGAGGCUUAUGAUGAAGAUGAUGAUGCUCAUGGUGGCCGUGGUCCCCAGAUGCAGUGUGCACAUCAAUAAUGUAUGUGUUAUAUAUGAUAUGUACUGUAUUUUUUUUUUACUGUAACUACAAAUCAUUGUAAAUUCCUAUAUGAACUUAUUUGGUUAUAUAUGACUCACUUAACUCAUUUUCCCAAUCCCUCAAGAAAAAUGAUAAAAGAAUAAAAGAAAAAAACGGAACAAAAUAUUGAUUUUUUUUUUUUUUUUAAAUAAAUAAAUCUCAAAUAAAAGUUAUAGUAUUAAAAUUCUGACUGACCUUUUUCUUCCCCAUUGUAUUUCUUUUCAUGUUUUGAAGAAACCUUGUAAAUUCCAAUAUUUGAUGACUUUUAAAUUGUUGUUAGUUAACUAGCUAUGAAAGUGUGAAUUUAUUAACUCUUUACACUUUAGAAACAUUAGUAAAACACUGUACAAAACAAGUUUCUAUUUUUAAUAAUUCUUAACCAUUGCUUUAACACUAUAUCCAGUGUUAACUCUAGGCUAGACACCUGUACAAAAGCAGGUUAACAUUCCUGUUAUAUAUUUCAGUAAAAUCAGAAAAUUACACAGAACAAAAUACAUAUACUUUACAUUUAGUCUGAUGGUCCAAAAAGAUUCUGAAGUCUCAGUGUCCCAUGCAUUUUUUCUUUAUUCCUAUCCUUAUAGCUUGUACUUUCACAAUAGACAAACAAAACAUUCUAUUAUAUUGCAGAUUUAAUAUAGUUACAUCAACUUGAUUGAUUUUUAACUGUGAUAUUUACUCCAUAAGAGCAAGUUAUACUAAGCAAAUUCAUUCCUUUACUUUUCAGAUGCAACAUUUAACAAUGUCCAUUGCCCAUUUAUGAAAGUAAUUUCCAUUUCACCACAUACUUGGUAAAUGAUAAUCUUGUGUUAGUGAUUAUAUUUUUCCAAUUAAUAUCUAUGGACUAACAAAGUUAUAUGAAAGAUGGUCCUGCCCAUGCCAGCAUGGCAAACAUGUUAAAUGAUGAUGGGAAUAUUUAAUAGAACCUGUUUCAACCUAUAUAUACCGAAAUAAAUCUGCAGUUCUGAGAACCCCUUUGUUGCUCCAAAGAACAAAGCAUGCUUACAUACACCACAUUGUAUGAAAAACUGCUGUCUAAGAAAUUAUCAGUCCAAUUCUUCUAAAGUUGCUUGGCUUACACAAAGCAAGUUCUGAACAGUUAAAAUAUAUAUGCAACGUUGUAUUCUGCACAAAUAUAUUAGUAAAUAAAAUGUGACUUGGGACCAGACUAUAAUAUAUCUAGCAAGAUACAGAGCUAAUGGGGACAACUCAACUUCAACAACAAAAAUAGAUUUGUGUAUGUCUUGUUUUUUUUUAGUAAUACCUAAAAUUUGGUUUAGAACUGGAUAUAUAUAUAUAUAUCAAUGGAACUGAUACUAUUUGAGCUAUUAUAGACAUUUAGAAUCCCUAAGUUUUCCCUUUAAUACUAGUGAAUAUAUUUAUUUAUCUUUAUAUUCUAUUAAAUGUUUAGUCAUUAUUUAACUGUUUAGCAAUUUUGCUUUAAAAAAAAUUCAUGUCAAAUGUUUUGGCAAUUUUCUAAUUUUAUAUUAUUUGUAGAUUAAGCCUCAAUAUAAGCAUAAAUAUUAACAUAUUUUAGUCAUAAUUGAAAAACUGCUUAUUAAACCAUAUCUUUAUAGGAUAUUGUCAGCAGUUUGAUUUUAACAUUUGAAUUGUCUGUGAGUGCAAACUGGGUAUAUUUUUCAUUAUUAUAUUUUAGGAUUGUCAAUUAAAAUCUUGACUGUUUUUGGCUUAAUUUUUUUUUCUUCUGAAUGAAAAGACCAAUUUGUGUAAUUUAUCAAGUUGAAUAAUAUGAAUUCAACUUAAGCUUUACACAAAACUGUUCCUGUUGUAUAUAACCUUUUGUACAGAUAUGUAACAUAGAGGUGCACUUUUUUUUUUUUUUGUUAAUUACAUCACAUUCUUGAGAGAAAAUUGGUAACUGAGAAGAAAGUUUUCUGUUCCUGCUUGUAUAACAAAUAUUGCUGCUCUUCUCAGUUCAAAUAAAUCUAAGCUAUCUUCCAAUCUUU